Manis javanica (Malayan pangolin) is the source of this 447-nucleotide long non-coding RNA. RefSeq lists it as uncharacterized. Lineage: Eukaryota; Metazoa; Chordata; Mammalia; Pholidota; Manidae. The record is from RefSeq and is a predicted model, not a curated record.
GUGGGCGUGAGGCCGGGAAACCCGCCGAGUGGCUUUCUCCACGCGACCCCCGGCCUUUCCCGCUCUCGGGGGGCAGCGCCGGCCGGAGAGAAGCGGGCACAGUCGCACCCCCGGGCCGGUGGUCGCGGUGGGGGUGGCUGAUGAUCCUGGAGCACCCGGCGCCCCUUUCCCUUCGCGCCCCUUCCUGCCCGGGGUAUCAUAGGACCAAGGGGUUCGAGCGUGUGGACUGGCUUGGCAGUGAAGCGAGAAAAGAGAAGCGCUCCUUUUAGGUCUUUUCCAUCUCUCACUGCGUUUAACCGGCGAACCAAGUCACAUUUUAAUUUGAGAAAGAUGUCAUGUGUUACUUCUCUUGCCUUAAAAAAAGUCCCCCAGUGAGCAAGCGCGCUGCAACUUCCUUAGUUUUGUCAAAGCCGCUUCCUGCUUUCAGUCUUUUAUACCCUUAUAAGG